RNAcentral lists this ribosomal RNA (270 nucleotides) under uncultured prokaryote. RNAcentral's name for it is "partial 16S ribosomal RNA". It matches the Rfam family "Bacterial small subunit ribosomal RNA", at positions 524 to 792 of the family's 1533-position model. The record is from RNAcentral.
CACGUAGGGGGCGAGCGUUAUCCGGAUUUAUUGGGUUUAAAGGGUGCGUAGGCGGCUUUUUUAAGUCAGCGGUGAAAUUUUGCAGCUUAACUGUAACAGUGCCGUUGAUACUGUUUGGCUAGGAUUUGGUUGUAGUGUGCGGAAUGUGUGGUGUAGCGGUGAAAUGCUUAGAUAUCACACAGAACACCGAUUGCGAAGGCAGCACACUAAGUCAUUAUUGACGCUGAGGCACGAAAGUGUGGGGAUCAAACAGGAUUAGAUACCCGGGUA